GAUGAACGCUGGCGGCGUGCCUAAUACAUGCAAGUCGAGCGAACAGACGAGGAGCUUGCUCCUCGGACGUUAGCGGCGGGCGUGUGAGUAACACGUGUAUAACCUACCUAGAAGACUGGGAUAACUUCGGGAAACCGGACCUAAUACCGGAUAAUAUAUUGAACCGCAUGGUUCAAUAGUGAAAGACGGUUUUGCUGUCACUUAUAGAUGGAUCCGCGCCGCAUUAGCUAGUUGGUAAGGUAACGGCUUACCAAGGCAACGAUGCGUAGCCGACCUGAGAGGGUGAUCGGCCACACUGGAACUGAGACACGGUCCAGACUCCUACGGGAGGCAGCAGUAGGGAAUCUUCCGCAAUGGGCGAAAGCCUGACGGAGCAACGCCGCGUGAGUGAUGAAGGUCUUCGGAUCGUAAACCUCUGUUAUUAGGGAAGAAACAAUGUGUAAGUAACUAUGCACGUCUUGACGGUACCUACUCAGAAAGCACCGGCUAACUACGUG
RNAcentral lists this ribosomal RNA (497 nucleotides) under uncultured bacterium. Its description in RNAcentral is "partial 16S ribosomal RNA". It matches the Rfam family "Bacterial small subunit ribosomal RNA", at positions 28 to 507 of the family's 1533-position model. The record is from RNAcentral.